AAAGGAUUAGUUAAAAUAUAACAUUAAGCUGUCAUAUUAAAGUUACUAAAAGUAUCCUUUA
RNAcentral lists this transfer RNA (61 nucleotides) under Pallaseopsis kessleri. RNAcentral's name for it is "tRNA-Asp". The record is from RNAcentral. Lineage: Eukaryota; Metazoa; Arthropoda; Malacostraca; Amphipoda; Pallaseidae.